CGCGUAGGCGGAUAUGUAAGUCAGAUGUGAAAUACCGAGGCUUAACCUCGGUGCUGCAUUUGAAACUACAUAUCUUGAGGAUAGACGGAGAAAACGGAAUUCCACGUGUAGCGGUGAAAUGCGUGGAUAUGUGGAAGAACACCUGUGGCGAAAGCGGUUUUCUAGUUUAUUCCUGACGCUGAGGCGCGAGAGCAAGGGUGCAAACA
RNAcentral lists this ribosomal RNA (206 nucleotides) under uncultured bacterium. Its description in RNAcentral is "partial 16S ribosomal RNA". It matches the Rfam family "Bacterial small subunit ribosomal RNA", at positions 568 to 774 of the family's 1533-position model. The record is from RNAcentral.